AUAAGGAGUCGGACCUGCCCAGUGAAAUUUUCAACGGCCGCGGUACUCUGACCGUGCAAAGGUAGCAUAAUCAUUUGCCUUAUAAUUAAAGGCUAGUAUGAAUGGUUUGACAAGAAUAUAGCUGUCUCUUUAUAAUUAGAUAGAAUUUUAUCUUAAGGUGAAGAAACCUUAAUACAAUUAAUAGACAAGAAGACCCUAUCGAGCUUGAAAAAAAUCUAUAGAGACUAAUUAAUAAGUUUAAAAAAAUCAACUAUUGAACAUUUUGGUUGGGGCGACUAAGGAACAUAUAAAACUUCCUUUAAUUAACAUAUUACAUACAAGUAUUGAUCCAAAAUUUUUGAUUAAAGAAAUUAGUUACCGUAGGGAUAACAGCAUUAUUUUUUUUAAGAGUUCUUAUCGAAAAAAAAGUUUGUGACCUCGAUGUUGGACCAGAAUAUCCUAAAGAUGCAGAAGUCUUUAAAGGUUGGUCUGUUCGACCAUUAAAAUUCUA
This 490-nucleotide ribosomal RNA is filed under the name Turridrupa armillata. RNAcentral describes it as "partial 16S ribosomal RNA". It matches the Rfam family "Bacterial large subunit ribosomal RNA", at positions 1845 to 2598 of the family's 2925-position model. The record is from RNAcentral. Lineage: Eukaryota; Metazoa; Mollusca; Gastropoda; Neogastropoda; Turridae.